UGGGGAAUUUUGGACAAUGGGCGAAAGCCUGAUCCAGCCAUGCCGCGUGAGUGAAGAAGGCCUUCGGGUUGUAAAGCGCUUUUAGUCGGAAAGAAAGAGUUGCAAUGAAUAAUUGUGAUUUAUGACGGUACCGACAGAAAAAGCACCGGCUAACUACGUGCCAGCAGCCGCGGUAAUACGUAGGGUGCGAGCGUUAAUCGGAAUUACUGGGCGUAAAGGGUGCGCAGGCGGUCUUGCAAGUCAGAUGUGAAAGCCCCGGGCUUAACCUGGGAAUUGCGUUUGAAACUACAAGGCUAGAGUGCAGCAGAGGGGAGUGGAAUUCCAUGUGUAGCAGUGAAAUGCGUAGAGAUGUGGAAGAACACCGAUGGCGAAGGCAGCUCCCUGGGUUGACACUGACGCUCAUGCACGAAAGCGUGGGGAGCAAACG
This 427-nucleotide ribosomal RNA is filed under the name uncultured beta proteobacterium. RNAcentral's name for it is "bacterial SSU rRNA". It matches the Rfam family "Bacterial small subunit ribosomal RNA", at positions 355 to 774 of the family's 1533-position model. Lineage: Bacteria; Pseudomonadati; Pseudomonadota; Betaproteobacteria. The record is from RNAcentral.